AUUGGAUCAUGUGGUACAUAUAUGGAUGUUUAACUUUUUAAGAAACUUCCAAACUGUUUUACAAAGUAAUUGUUCCAUUUUACAUUUCUGUUGCCAGU
This 98-nucleotide microRNA precursor is filed under the name Marmota monax (woodchuck). The record is from RNAcentral. Lineage: Eukaryota; Metazoa; Chordata; Mammalia; Rodentia; Sciuridae.